Molecule: transfer RNA, 72 nt
Filed under: Camelus bactrianus (Bactrian camel)
Lineage: Eukaryota; Metazoa; Chordata; Mammalia; Artiodactyla; Camelidae
Also listed under: 1 other name
Rfam family: tRNA
About the family: Transfer RNA (tRNA) molecules are approximately 80 nucleotides in length. Their secondary structure includes four short double-helical elements and three loops (D, anti-codon, and T loops). Further hydrogen bonds mediate the characteristic L-shaped molecular structure. tRNAs have two regions of fundamental functional importance: the anti-codon, which is responsible for specific mRNA codon recognition, and the 3' end, to which the tRNAs corresponding amino acid is attached (by aminoacyl-tRNA synthetases). tRNAs cope with the degeneracy of the genetic code in two manners: having more than one tRNA (with a specific anti-codon) for a particular amino acid; and 'wobble' base-pairing, i.e. permitting non-standard base-pairing at the 3rd anti-codon position.
Source: Rfam by way of RNAcentral
GUGAGUAUAGCUCAGUGGUAGAGCACAUGCUUAGCACGCAUGAGGUCCUGGGUUCAAUCCCCAGUACCUUCA